Equus quagga is the source of this 588-nucleotide long non-coding RNA. RefSeq lists it as uncharacterized. NCBI's taxonomy places the organism in Eukaryota, Metazoa, Chordata, Mammalia, Perissodactyla, Equidae. The record is from RefSeq and is a predicted model, not a curated record. The transcript has 4 exons.
GUUCAUUCUGCCUCAGACUUUCUUCACUUGGCUAUUUUAUAUUCAUCCUUCAGAGAUCCUUUGUUCUUAGGAGAAAGGCCAGGUGAAGACAGGAGGAGAUAACAGCCGUCUACCAGCCCGGAAGAAGGCUCUCGCCAGACAUGGAAUCUGCCGCCACCUCGAUCUUGGACUUCUGGCAUCCAGAUAGUGUUAUGGUAAUUUUAUUUGAAAAUUGAAGAAACUGAGGCCCAAAUACCAAAGUCCAGUUACAUAGGCAACGAGGCUAGACACUCAUAUUCUGAUUUUUCAUAUCACUAUAUUGAUUCACUCUCCUCUUCAAACAAAAAAAGACUACUUCAUGUUCACCACCCAAAGUCUAAUUGCCAUCCAUCUUGUUGGUUUUCCAAAGUCACAAUAAUAUGCUUCUGGGACCAAUAAUCAUCAUCAAUGCAAUCAUAUAACACAGUCUAAAGAGAGGUCAAGUUUCAGUAAAAACGUUGCCAGCUGUCAAGAAUCAAAAUGUGCUCCAAAUUUGUCUGCUGUCUCACUAACAUGUUAAGAGUUCUCAGAAGCUUGAUGGUCUAUAAAAUCUGUUUUAUCAUUUAAUUA